Molecule: long non-coding RNA, 934 nt
Organism: Syngnathus typhle (broad-nosed pipefish)
Lineage: Eukaryota; Metazoa; Chordata; Actinopteri; Syngnathiformes; Syngnathidae
Exons: 2
Source: RefSeq, a predicted model, not a curated record
CAAAGCGUUUGAUCACACUAAGAUCUGAAUUAUUUCCAGUAAUGCAUCACUUUGCUGACAACACAUAUAUUCAGCUUUUGUUUCCCUCUCUUCGCAUAAACAAUGAAAGCAAUACAGUGAGCCAAGAUUUUGAAAUGUAAUAAAUAUAAGAAAAAUUGUGCAUUUGAUAGUUACGUCUGUCACACUCGAGUGUGAAUGUUUAUCUAUAUGUGCCCUGUGAUUGAUUGACAUCCAGUCCGGACUCCAGAGUGUACCCCGCCAAUUGCUCAGUCAGCAGGGACAGAGUCCAGCUCACGUGCAACCCUAAUGAGGACUAGCGCUACAGAACAUUGAUGGAAGGAUUUUCUUAUUUUAAUGUAUUAUUAUUUUUGUUAUUACCACUACAACCUUGAACUGAAUCGCAAUAGAUGUACACAUGCACCUAAAAAAAAAAGUGAGUAAGUAGAUAUCGUACUUUCUAUUGAAAACUUACGUGAAUUAGUAUAUGUCGAAGUAUGAUGGUUGUUGAGCGAGGACAAACAUUAGAUAACAUCAACAUUCAUAUCCACUCCGUUGUCAUCCUUUUUUCAGCAGGCCAUUAGCAGAACCGAGCCGUUACUAUGAUGUGCAGGAUAAACAUCCCCUGGUUGCCUCUGACUGCAUUGUGGUUACUCUUCUUCUAACCAGAACUCAAUCUCAAGUUGACAGUGGUGGUGUCUUGCAUGGUCUCUAAUAUGGAGUGAGGAAGAUUAUGUGACAGAAGAGGGACCUUUGUGCACCUGUUGUCCACAGUAGUCAACAUCGGAGCCUGGUUACGCAUCACAUCUCAUCAAAUUCAAAAGCAAACCAACAUGGAACCUGUUCAACCUGAAAAACGUUAUGGUUUUAUUUUAUUCAAUAAGACUGCUAAGCGACAGGUUAGCAAAUAUGACACAAUAAAACAAAAGCGACCUCA